AUAGGGCUUGGGAUCGGCAAUGGAGAUAUAGACAUCGGAAGGCUUUUAUCAGGGUUCUGUUCGAAGGGUCAACAUUGUAGCAGCCAACCUCCUAGGAAUGGUUGGUUGUAAUGGCAAAAAAUCUCUAGUCUGAUUAGGGAUAAGGAUUGGCUAAGAAUUUUAGAGAAUAGUCAUGCCUUUUCUGGCUCAAUAUUUGGUACCCUGA
RNAcentral lists this long non-coding RNA (205 nucleotides) under Elaeis guineensis (African oil palm). RNAcentral describes it as "long non-coding RNA (EGUI_LNC008907)". Lineage: Eukaryota; Viridiplantae; Streptophyta; Magnoliopsida; Arecales; Arecaceae. The record is from RNAcentral.